CCUACGGGAGGCAGCAGUGAGGAAUAUUGGUCAAUGGGCUUACGCCUGAACCAGCCAAGUCGCGUGAGGGAAGACUGCCCUAUGGGUUGUAAACCUCUUUUGUCAGGGAGCAAUUGGCGCUACGUGUAGCGUUAUCGAGAGUACCUGAAGAAAAAGCAUCGGCUAACUCCGUGCCAGCAGCCGCGGUAAUACGGAGGAUGCGAGCGUUAUCCGGAUCUUUUGGGUUUAAAGGGUGCGCAGGCGGAGGUGCAAGUCAGCGGUCAAAUUGCGGGGCUCAACCCCGUACUGCCGUUGAAACUGCGUGCCUUGAGUGCGCGAGAGGUAUGCGGAAUGCGUGGUGUAGCGGUGAAAUGCAUAGAUAUCACGCAGAACUACGAUUGCGAAGGCAGCAUACCGGCGCGCAACUGACGCUCAUGCACGAAAGCGUGGGUAUCGAACAGGAUUAGAUACCCUAGUAGUC
This 460-nucleotide ribosomal RNA is filed under the name uncultured bacterium. Its description in RNAcentral is "partial 16S ribosomal RNA". It matches the Rfam family "Bacterial small subunit ribosomal RNA", at positions 338 to 795 of the family's 1533-position model. The record is from RNAcentral.